CCAGACUCCUACGGGAGGCAGCAGUGGGGAAUCUUCCGCAAUGGACGAAAGUCUGACGGAGCAACGCCGCGUGAGUGAUGACGGCCUUCGGGUUGUAAAGCUCUGUUAAUCGGGACGAAAGGCCUUCUUGCGAAUAGUGAGAAGGAUUGACGGUACCGGAAUAGAAAGCCACGGCUAACUACGUGCCAGCAGCCGCGGUAAUACGUAGGUGGCAAGCGUUGUCCGGAAUUAUUGGGCGUAAAGCGCGCGCAGGCGGAUCGGUCAGUCUGUCUUAAAAGUUCGGGGCUUAACCCCGUGAUGGGAUGGAAACUGCCAAUCUAGAGUAUCGGAGAGGAAAGUGGAAUUCCUAGUGUAGCGGUGAAAUGCGUAGAUAUUAGGAAGAACACCAGUGGCGAAGGCGACUUUCUGGACGAAAACUGACGCUGAGGCGCGAAAGCCAGGGGAGCGAACGGGAUUAGAUACCCCGGUAGUCCUGGCCGUAAACGAUGGGUACUAGGUGUAGGAGGUAUCGACCCCUUCUGUGCCGGAGUUAACGCAAUAAGUACCCCGCCUGGGGAGUACGACCGCAAGGUUGAAACUCAAAGGAAUUGACGGGGGCCCGCACAAG
Molecule: ribosomal RNA, 607 nt
Filed under: uncultured bacterium
Lineage: Bacteria
Description: bacterial SSU rRNA
Rfam family: Bacterial small subunit ribosomal RNA
Source: RNAcentral